This is a small nucleolar RNA of Lagopus leucura (white-tailed ptarmigan), 135 nucleotides long. RefSeq annotates it as small nucleolar RNA SNORA14. The record is from RefSeq and is a predicted model, not a curated record. The transcript has a single exon. NCBI's taxonomy places the organism in Eukaryota, Metazoa, Chordata, Aves, Galliformes, Phasianidae.
CCGCAUUCCAAACCCUCCUGGUGGCUGCCCCCUGGCCUCCAGGCAUAAGAACGAAUGCCAGAGCGAACCGGUGAUUGAUCCAAAACGCGGAGCUCCUGUCCUGUGGCUCCUCGUUAUUUCACGUCUUCAACAUUU